Molecule: long non-coding RNA, 390 nt
Organism: Chiroxiphia lanceolata (lance-tailed manakin)
Lineage: Eukaryota; Metazoa; Chordata; Aves; Passeriformes; Pipridae
Exons: 4
Source: RefSeq, a predicted model, not a curated record
GUGAGGCCUAGUGAGGUCUUGUAGGCCUUGGGAGGAGGAGGGUGCCGGAGGUUGGUGGGUGCGAUUCUGCUACCUCAAGGAGAGUAGUGGUAGCAGGGAAGAUAGUCUCCAGAAGUACUCCAACAGAGUGUCUGAGUAGGGGACCAGGCAACACUCCAAAAUAAAAUUUUCUUGAAUAGUCUGAGUUGGAAGAGACCCACAAGGACCAUCGAGUCAAAGUCAUAAGUUAGGGGAUCAAACCCACAUUGGGGAUCACAACCUUGAUGUUAUUAGCACUAUGCUCUAACCAACUGAGCUAAUCUCAGGGUUAAUGGCAACAGUAACCAGAUGACGUAUGUUUUGCAUGGGAGAAAGUGAAAGGUAUUUCCAUGCAGUCUUACUUAGCGUAAU